UUGGAGGGCAAGUCUGGUGCCAGCAGCCGCGGUAAUUCCAGCUCCAAUAGCGUAUAUUAAAGUUGUUGCAGUUAAAAAGCUCGUAGUUGAAUUUCGGGAUCAAUACGUCGGUCGUGCCUCCGGUAUGUACUGGUGUUAUUGAUUUCUCCCUUCUGAUGAACCAUGAUGUCAUUAAUUUGAUGUUGUGGGGAGUCAGGACUGUUACUUUGAAAAAAUUAGAGUGUUUAAAGCAGGCUCACGCUUGAAUACAUUAGCAUGGAAUAAUGAAAUAGGACGUUCGAUUCUAUUUUGUUGGUUUCUAGGAUCAACGUAAUGAUUAAUAGGGAUAGUUGGGGGCAUUAGUAUUCAAUUGUCAGAGGUGAAAUUCUUGGAUUUAUUGAAGACUAACUACUGCGAAAGCAUUUGCCAAGGAUGUUUUCAUUAAUCAAGAACGAAAGUUAGGGGAUCGAAGACGAUCAGAUACCGUCGUAGUCUUAACCAUAAACUAUGCCGACUAGGGAUCGGAUGAUGUUAAUUUUUUAACGACUCAUUCGGCGCCUUACGGGAAAC
This 549-nucleotide ribosomal RNA is filed under the name uncultured Glomus. RNAcentral describes it as "SSU rRNA". It matches the Rfam family "Eukaryotic small subunit ribosomal RNA", at positions 548 to 1098 of the family's 1831-position model. The record is from RNAcentral. Lineage: Eukaryota; Fungi; Glomeromycota; Glomeromycetes; Glomerales; Glomeraceae.